RNAcentral lists this ribosomal RNA (488 nucleotides) under uncultured eubacterium WR8136. Its description in RNAcentral is "bacterial SSU rRNA". It matches the Rfam family "Bacterial small subunit ribosomal RNA", at positions 9 to 527 of the family's 1533-position model. The record is from RNAcentral.
GAGUUUGAUCAUGGCUCAGAAUCAACGCUGGCGGCGUGCCUAACACAUGCAAGUCGCACGAGAAAGAGGGGGCAACUCCUUGAGUAAAGUGGCGUACGGGUGAGUAACACGUGACUAACCUACCUCCGAAUGGGGAAUAACCUCGGGAAACCGGGGCUAAUACCGCAUAACAUCUACGGAUCAAAGCAGCAAUGCGUUUGGAGAGGGGGUCGCGGCUGAUUAGCUAGUUGGUGGGGUAAUGGCCCACCAAGGCUACGAUCAGUAUCCGGCCUGAGAGGGCGCACGGACACACUGGAACUGAAACACGGUCCAGACUCCUACGGGAGGCAGCAGUGGGGAAUUUUGCGCAAUGGGGGAAACCCUGACGCAGCAACGCCGCGUGGAGGAUGAAGGUCUUUGGAUUGUAAACUCCUUUCGAUCGGGACGAUUAUGACGGUACCGGAAGAAGAAGCACCGACUAACUCUGUGCCAGCAGCCGCGGUAAUACG